Molecule: ribosomal RNA, 253 nt
Filed under: uncultured bacterium
Lineage: Bacteria
Description: partial 16S ribosomal RNA
Rfam family: Bacterial small subunit ribosomal RNA
Source: RNAcentral
GACGAACCGUGCGAACGUUGUUCGGAUUCACUGGGCUUAAAGGGCGCGUAGGCGGGCCGUCAAGUCGGGGGUGAAAUCUUUCAGCUCAACUGGAAAAGAGCCUUCGAUACUGACGGCCUCGAGGGAGGUAGGGGCAGAUGGAAUUCCGGGUGUAGCGGUGGAAUGCGUAGAGAUCCGGAAGAACACCGGUGGCGAAGGCGGUCUGCUGGGCAGUUGCUGACACUGAGGCGCGACAGCGUGGGGAGCAAACAGG